Molecule: ribosomal RNA, 430 nt
Filed under: bacterium
Lineage: Bacteria
Description: partial 16S ribosomal RNA
Rfam family: Bacterial small subunit ribosomal RNA
Source: RNAcentral
UGGGGAAUAUUGGACAAUGGGCGCAAGCCUGAUCCAGCCAUGCUGCGUGUGUGAAGAAGGCCUUUUGGUUGUAAAGCACUUUAAGCGAGGAGGAGGCUACUUGGAUUAAUACUCUAGGAUAGUGGACGUUACUCGCAGAAUAAGCACCGGCUAACUCUGUGCCAGCAGCCGCGGUAAUACAGAGGGUGCGAGCGUUAAUCGGAUUUACUGGGCGUAAAGCGUGCGUAGGCGGCUUCUUAAGUCGGAUGUGAAAUCCCUGAGCUUAACUUAGGAAUUGCAUUCGAUACUGGGAAGCUAGAGUAUGGGAGAGGAUGGUAGAAUUCCAGGUGUAGCGGUGAAAUGCGUAGAGAUCUGGAGGAAUACCGAUGGCGAAGGCAGCCAUCUGGCCUAAUACUGACGCUGAGGUACGAAAGCAUGGGGAGCAAACAGG